UACGAAGGGGGCUAGCGUUGCUCGGAAUUACUGGGCGUAAAGGGCGCGUAGGCGGAUAUUUAAGUUAGAGGUGAAAGCCCAGGGCUCAACCCUGGAAUAGCCUUUAAUACUGGAUAUCUUGAGUUCGGGAGAGGUGAGUGGAACUCCGAGUGUAGAGGUGAAAUUCGUAGAUAUUCGGAAGAACACCAGUGGCGAAGGCGGCUGACUGGACAUGUAUUGACGCUGAGGUGCGAAAGCGUGGGGAGCAAACAGG
RNAcentral lists this ribosomal RNA (253 nucleotides) under uncultured bacterium. RNAcentral describes it as "partial 16S ribosomal RNA". It matches the Rfam family "Bacterial small subunit ribosomal RNA", at positions 524 to 776 of the family's 1533-position model. The record is from RNAcentral.